GGAGACAUAGCUCAUUGGUAGAGUAUCUGCCUAGCAGGCACAAGGUCCUAAGUUCAAACCCCAGUACCACCA
RNAcentral lists this transfer RNA (72 nucleotides) under Dipodomys ordii (Ord's kangaroo rat). It matches the Rfam family "tRNA". From Rfam's summary of the family: Transfer RNA (tRNA) molecules are approximately 80 nucleotides in length. Their secondary structure includes four short double-helical elements and three loops (D, anti-codon, and T loops). The record is from Rfam by way of RNAcentral. Lineage: Eukaryota; Metazoa; Chordata; Mammalia; Rodentia; Heteromyidae.